CGUAGGUGGCAAGCGUUGUCCGGAGUUACUGGGUGUAAAGGGCGUGUAGGCGGGAAGAUAAGUCAGAUGUGAAAUUCCAUGGCUCAACUGUGGCGCUGCAUCUGAAACUAUUUUUCUUGAGUGAUGGAGAGGAAAGCGGAAUUCCUAGUGUAGCGGUGAAAUACGUAGAUAUUAGGAGGAACACCAGUGGCGAAGGCGGCUUUCUGGACAUUAACUGACGCUGAGGCGCGAAAGCGUGGGGAGCAAACAGGAUUAGAUACCCUGGUAGUCCACGCUGUAAACGAUGGAUACUAGGUGUAGGAGGUAUCGACCCCUUCUGUGCCGGAGUUAACACAAUAAGUAUCCCACCUGGGGAGUACGGCCGCAAGGUUG
This 372-nucleotide ribosomal RNA is filed under the name uncultured organism. Its description in RNAcentral is "bacterial SSU rRNA". It matches the Rfam family "Bacterial small subunit ribosomal RNA", at positions 526 to 896 of the family's 1533-position model. The record is from RNAcentral.